UAGGGAAUAUUAGUAAUGGGCGAAAGCCUGAACUAGCAACGCCGCGUGUGCGAAGAAGGCCUUCGGGUUGUAAAGCACUUGUUGAGAGGAUGAGGAAGGACGGUACUCUCAGAAUAAGUCUCGGCUAACUACGUGCCAGCAGCCGCGGUAACACGUAGGAGGCGAACGUUAUCCGGAUUUACUGGGCGUAAAGCGCGUGUAGGUGGUUUGGUAAGUAGGGCGUGAAAGCUCCUGGCUCAACUGGGAGAGGCCGUUCUAAACUGCCGAACUGGAGGAUGGUAGAGGGAGGUGGAAUUCCGGGUGUAGCGGUGGAAUGCGCAGAUAUCCGGAGGAACACCAGUGGCGAAAGCGGCCUCCUGGACCACUCCUGACACUCAGACGCGAAAGCUAGGGUAGCAAACGG
RNAcentral lists this ribosomal RNA (403 nucleotides) under uncultured bacterium. RNAcentral describes it as "bacterial SSU rRNA". It matches the Rfam family "Bacterial small subunit ribosomal RNA", at positions 355 to 775 of the family's 1533-position model. The record is from RNAcentral.